GCUACUACCAUACACUUCAGUGUGAGAUCUUGGAGAUCAGAUAUUUCUACCUACACUCCCAUCACUGAAUACUGACUUGCUGGAUUCACCUACAGUCUGAAAUCCAGUCGGGUUUGCCUCUAAUGGAAGCCUUCUUCUCUGAAUACGUGCGGUGUUUCAGAGCGCUCAUCUACGGUAUCGCACAUCUGUUGCAUUCCAAUAGCUUCCAUGUCACGACGUGUACAUGGAACCUUGGAAUCGUAAUCAGUUCGUAGUUCGGUCACCUCAACUACGGCUUUUGCUGCUGCCACUGCACAAUUGGCAGACUCAGCUGCAGAAGCUACAUCUGAUCUUUUUGUACAUCAGACUUGUGAUGUGGCAUCACAAUUAUAGAAUGCGUAUCAGUAUGAGUGUGUUAAAUUAGAGCAUGUCUGACAUGUGUAAGAUCAACACAUUGUGAUGCUUGUUAAUAUCAACUAUGCGAUAACAUCUUUACACCCCAACAAGAGGAUUUAGAGGCGCAGGUAACAAGUUUUGGCAUAGUUCCAGUAUUACGAAUAUUUCACAAUUUUACAUAGUGUCCUAGAGGUCUUAAAGUUUCCUGAUAGUUCUGAGAGUUCUUGAAGUAUUCUUGUUAUGAAUACUCCUGAACUAUGUUCUGUUUGUGAAGGAUGAUCGCCAAAAUAUACUUCAAAUAAUCGUUUCUCUCUGAAGAAU
Non-coding RNA from Physcomitrium patens, 696 nucleotides. The record is from RefSeq and is a predicted model, not a curated record. Lineage: Eukaryota; Viridiplantae; Streptophyta; Bryopsida; Funariales; Funariaceae.